RNAcentral lists this transfer RNA (71 nucleotides) under Camelus bactrianus (Bactrian camel). It matches the Rfam family "tRNA". From Rfam's summary of the family: Transfer RNA (tRNA) molecules are approximately 80 nucleotides in length. Their secondary structure includes four short double-helical elements and three loops (D, anti-codon, and T loops). Further hydrogen bonds mediate the characteristic L-shaped molecular structure. tRNAs have two regions of fundamental functional importance: the anti-codon, which is responsible for specific mRNA codon recognition, and the 3' end, to which the tRNAs corresponding amino acid is attached (by aminoacyl-tRNA synthetases). tRNAs cope with the degeneracy of the genetic code in two manners: having more than one tRNA (with a specific anti-codon) for a particular amino acid; and 'wobble' base-pairing, i.e. permitting non-standard base-pairing at the 3rd anti-codon position. The record is from Rfam by way of RNAcentral. RNAcentral also lists the same sequence under 2 other names. Lineage: Eukaryota; Metazoa; Chordata; Mammalia; Artiodactyla; Camelidae.
GAGGGUGUAGCUCAGUGUGGAGUGUGUGCUUAGCAUGCACGAGGUCCUGGGUUCAAUCCCCAGUACCUUCA